AAAAAUAAAUUGAUUUAUUUUUCUUGUCUAUUGUUAGAAAUAAAUGUGAUAUUUCUACUUUUAGUAAAAUUUUGAUAUUUCUUUCUACUGUUUUGAAUAUUUAGACAUUGUAAAAUUCAUGUGCAAAUGACUGCCUUAUUAUUUAAAAAUUGACAUUUUUGCAAUUGAUUAUAGUAUUGUUGUGAAAUGUUUAUUUGUGGAUUGAUAUCCCAUAAAUUGUGAUAAUUCUGUAUUCUUGAAUUUCUAUAAGAGUUUUUCUAUACAUAUUAAAUUGGCAAUUAUGCUAGAAUGCCUUUACGAACUGCUACCUUUCUAAAUUUGAGCCCAAAAUAUUUGAUUGGUUAUUUUUGAAAUGUUAUAGAGAGUGACUGUUAUUAAUGGUUUAAGUGAAAUUCAUAUUAAUGAUUUCAGUGAUAUGUUGAGUACGAUAUUGCUGCUUUCGAAUGUUUAAAGAGAUUUAGAAAUAAUUUAA
Molecule: long non-coding RNA, 472 nt
Filed under: Amborella trichopoda
Lineage: Eukaryota; Viridiplantae; Streptophyta; Magnoliopsida; Amborellales; Amborellaceae
Description: long non-coding RNA (ATRI_LNC002175)
Source: RNAcentral